CAGUAGCCACGGUAAUACGUAGGUGGCAAGCGUUGUCCGGAAUUAUUGGGCGUAAAGGGCUCGCAGGCGGUUUCUUAAGUCUGAUGUGAAAGCCCCCGGCUCAACCGGGGAGGGUCAUUGGAAACUGGGAAACUUGAGUGCAGAAGAGGAGAGUGGAAUUCCACGUGUAGCGGUGAAAUGCGUAGAGAUGUGGAGGAACACCAGUGGCGAAGGCGGCUCUCUGGUCUGUAACUGACGCUGAGGAGCGAAAGCGUGGGGAGCGAACAGGAUUAGAUACCCCCGUAGUCCCUGUCUCUUAUAU
RNAcentral lists this ribosomal RNA (301 nucleotides) under uncultured bacterium. RNAcentral's name for it is "partial 16S ribosomal RNA". It matches the Rfam family "Bacterial small subunit ribosomal RNA", at positions 509 to 809 of the family's 1533-position model. The record is from RNAcentral.